GACGAACGCUGGCGGCGUGCCUAAUACAUGCAAGUUGAGCGCUGAAGGUUGGUACUUGUACCGACUGGAUGAGCAGCGAACGGGUGAGUAACGCGUGGGGAAUCUGCCUUUGAGCGGGGGACAACAUUUGGAAACGAAUGCUAAUACCGCAUAAAAACUUUAAAAACAAGUUUUAAGUUUGAAAGAUGAAAUUGAAUCACUCAAAGAUGAUCCCGCGUUGUAUUAGCUAGUUGGUGAGGUAAAGGCUCACCAAGGCGAUGAUACAUAGCCGACCUGAGAGGGUGAUCGGCCACAUUGGGACUGAGACACGGCCCAAACUCCUACGGGAGGCAGCAGUAGGGAAUCUUCGGCAAUGGACGAAAGUCUGACCGAGCAACGCCGCGUGAGUGAAGAAGGUUUUCGGAUCGUAAAACUCUGUUGGUAGAGAAGAACGUUGGUGAGAGUGGAAAGCUCAUCAAGUGACGGUAACUACCCAGAAAGGGACGGCUAACUACGUG
RNAcentral lists this ribosomal RNA (497 nucleotides) under uncultured bacterium. RNAcentral describes it as "partial 16S ribosomal RNA". It matches the Rfam family "Bacterial small subunit ribosomal RNA", at positions 28 to 507 of the family's 1533-position model. The record is from RNAcentral.